GACGUAGGGGGCCAGCGUUGCUCGGAAUUACUGGGUGUAAAGGGUUCGUAGGCGGCUCGGUAAGUCGGGUGUGAAACCUCCAGGCUCAACCUGGAGACGCCACCUGAUACUGCUGUGGCUAGAGUCCGGUAGGGGAGUGUGGAACUCCUGGUGUAGCGGUGAAAUGCGCAGAUAUCAGGAAGAACACCAGCGGCGAAGGCGGCACUCUGGGCCGGUACUGACGCUGAGGUGCGAAAGCGUGGGGAGCAAACAGG
This 254-nucleotide ribosomal RNA is filed under the name uncultured bacterium. RNAcentral's name for it is "partial 16S ribosomal RNA". It matches the Rfam family "Bacterial small subunit ribosomal RNA", at positions 524 to 776 of the family's 1533-position model. The record is from RNAcentral.